CUCUAGAGAUAGAGCUUUCCCCUUCGGGGGACAAAGUGACAGGUGGUGCAUGGUUGUCGUCAGCUCGUGUCGUGAGAUGUUGGGUUAAGUCCCGCAACGAGCGCAACCCUUAAGCUUAGUUGCCAUCAUUAAGUUGGGCACUCUAGGUUGACUGCCGGUGACAAACCGGAGGAAGGUGGGGAUGACGUCAAAUCAUCAUGCCCCUUAUGAUUUGGGCUACACACGUGCUACAAUGGACAAUACAAAGGGCAGCUAAACCGCGAGGUCAUGCAAAUCCCAUAAAGUUGUUCUCAGUUCGGAUUGUAGUCUGCAACUCGACUACAUGAAGCUGGAAUCGCUAGUAAUCGUAGAUCAGCAUGCUACGGUGAAUACGUUCCCGGGUCUUGUACACACCGCCCGUCACACCACGAGAGUUUGUAACACCCGAAGCCGGUGGAGUAACCAUUUAUGGAGCUAGCCGUCGAAGGUGGGACAAAUGAUUGGGGUGAAGUCGUAACAAGGUAGCCGUAUCGGAA
Molecule: ribosomal RNA, 515 nt
Filed under: uncultured bacterium
Lineage: Bacteria
Description: bacterial SSU rRNA
Rfam family: Bacterial small subunit ribosomal RNA
Source: RNAcentral